AAAAUACUGAAACAUUGAAAGUUUUUUUUUUAUUAAAAAAAGAUCUAAGCUAGCAGAUCUAUGACAAUCAAGAACAGAAAAACAGAACAGAUAAGAGAGCUGCUAGAAGGCAAUGAUCCUCUGGCCUAUUAGGACAUGAGGCAUAGACAAAUGUGCAAUUAGGAGGAAAAAACCCUGUGAGGAGGAAAUGCUAGAGAAUAAAAUCCCCCUAUAGUUCCUCUAAGACUCUUGCCAGGAAAGCCAUCUGUCAAGAGAUUAGUAAGAAGGUAAUUUCUGCAGGAAUUUUCCCUUAGGACCAUAUGGAGUGCCAAGAAAAGGUGUUGUGGCAUCAGGAGUGAAGACAAAAGCUCAGGGUCCUCAGCAGUGUUUAUCACAGACAGAAAGAAAGCUAUCAACCCAUUGAGUCUUAGGGAAGAAGAGAGAGAACUACAUUGCUUUUGACAGGAGACCUGAAGAAGUAUUGGGAGUAGUUGAUGAAGCCAAGUCUCCUGAAAGGUUUACACAGGCUGGUUACAAUAUUCUGCAGAUGCAAGGUGGAUCCUUUACCUCUGAAUGGAUAAUCUUUCCUCUGAGAGGUAAGAAGAUUGGGGCGUUCUGAUAAAAAAACCAAAUAGUUAUGUAUAGGAAUA
Phascolarctos cinereus (koala) is the source of this 629-nucleotide long non-coding RNA. The record is from Ensembl. Lineage: Eukaryota; Metazoa; Chordata; Mammalia; Diprotodontia; Phascolarctidae.